CAAUAACCAGACCUUUCCAGUUCUACUUCCAGGAAUGACGGAAAUAAGAUGGCACCUCAGCAAAACCACAGAAUGGUGUUAGGAAGACCUUAUAGGCCUGGGUAUUUAUAACUUCCCUGGAACAAAAGGUGGUGCACUGGGACAUCAAUCAAGAGUUUUGCAUACAGGAUUAAAAAAUUUGCUCAAAUUCCUCUCAUGAGACCCUGUUAAAACAUUCUAGAGUCAUUUUCCACAUGGCACGCACCACUUAAUCCUUAACUUCUAUUUCUCCUUAACCUUAGCCUCCCUUCUCACUUUGAAUUCGUUUGGGAACAUUACCCCAGUUCCUUGCUUGGGCACUCAUAAUAAAUCACCUUCAUACCUAGGCUUGUUUCUCUUCUGUAGUGCCAGAUCAUGCCUGCCCAUCUGUUGGACCAUGCUUAUGGUAACAGAUUUUGGUGAGCCAGCAGGACUCCUGCUGCUCUAGGGAUACGCCCUGUUCCUCAAGCAGCUCUGAUCUGGAUCUCAUCAGCCAUGGGGCUUCCCCAGAAUGCUCAGCUCUGUGCCUAGCAGCUGCCCAGUGAUUUUUCUGGAGGGCCGAGGCUGGAGGUUCUGGGCCAAAUUUCUACCAUGGAUGAACACUGGGUGCUUUGGGUUAAGAUGACUCUUUUUCUCCUUUGUUUCAGGAGGUACCAGCGCUUGAACCUAGGACCUUGUCCCUGGAAAGCAGGCACUCAACCACUUGAGCGCUAUCCAUUCCAUGAAGGUGAUUCUGAAGCUGAGUGUUCGCCUAUGCUAGGAGACACGGUUCCAGAACUGGAUCCCUACAAGGACUCAAAAGAGCCUGGGGAGGACACCCAGUUGAAACAUUAUAAGGUUUGACCAUCUACUGUUGUCUGGUUGUGAGUGAAACUCCAGAGGAAAAACCUCAUCUGAGCUAUUGACUAUGGAAGCACAGGUGAGUAAGGAAUUCCUCUUUAACUGAAAUUGCACCUUUGUUGGCAUUAAACAGUCAU
Molecule: long non-coding RNA, 995 nt
Filed under: Dasypus novemcinctus (nine-banded armadillo)
Lineage: Eukaryota; Metazoa; Chordata; Mammalia; Cingulata; Dasypodidae
Description: lncRNA (ENSDNOG00000051291.1)
Source: RNAcentral